This 444-nucleotide ribosomal RNA is filed under the name uncultured bacterium. RNAcentral's name for it is "bacterial SSU rRNA". It matches the Rfam family "Bacterial small subunit ribosomal RNA", at positions 335 to 797 of the family's 1533-position model. The record is from RNAcentral.
ACUCCUACGGGAGGCAGCAGUGGGGAAUAUUGCACAAUGGGGGCAACCCUGAUCCAGCCAUGCCGCGUGAGUGAAGAAGGCCCUAGGGUCGUAAAGCUCUUUCAACUGUGAAGAUAAUGACGGUAGCAGUAGAAGAAACCCCGGCUAACUCCGUGCCAGCAGCCGCGGUAAUACGGAGGGGUUAGCGUUGUUCGGAAUUACUGGGCGUAAAGCGCACGUAGGCGGACUAUUAAGUUAGAGGUGAAAUCCCAGGGCUCAACCCUGGAACUGCCUUUAAUACUGGUAGUCUUGAGUUCGAGAGAGGUGAGUGGAAUUCCGAGUGUAGAGGUGAAAUUCGUAGAUAUUCGGAGGAACACCAGUGGCGAAGGCGGCUCACUGGCUCGAUACUGACGCUGAGGUGCGAAAGUGUGGGGAGCAAACAGGAUUAGAUACCCUGGUAGGUGA